RNAcentral lists this unclassified non-coding RNA (903 nucleotides) under Centruroides sculpturatus (bark scorpion). Its description in RNAcentral is "uncharacterized LOC111635010, transcript variant X3". The record is from RNAcentral. Lineage: Eukaryota; Metazoa; Arthropoda; Arachnida; Scorpiones; Buthidae.
GUGGUGCAGGUGUCGCUCCGCCUCCGCUCGGCAUACGAAACGACAGUUGGGUGAAAUCGUGGCAAAGUUGCAGAGAUUUGCACCCUCUGGGCUUCGGAUAUGGAUUACUUUCGCGUCGAUAUGACUUUUCGAAAUGCGUUUCGUCAAAGAAAUAUCGUAGAUGAGUCGAUAUGAUUUUUCGUAAAGAAGUCCCGAUAUCUGCCGACCGAGGGCGGUAGUGUAGCAUACGUUUAAUCGACCCUCAGUCGAGAGGAAGUGGGCAGCUACGUUAUCGACGCCAAACCAUGUAGACGCACAGUGUUUGGCCUCCGUCCUUUCGGCCACGUGUUCUUGCACGAGGUCUUCUCGUUUGAACUCUGACCUCACCGAGUGUAGUCGAUGGACCCACCCCGGUAACUUAAAGGAACCAGCCUCGUGUUGGUCGAACGUGUCGCGAGGUGUCCAGGUGGGAGGGGCCACUGUGAUAGACAGGUGUAGCCUUCCAUGUCCCGAGCCAGCAUGCGUGGCGUCGUGCCCCUUCCCUAUCCCCCACCUCCUCCCGGUUUAGCCCGGGGGGUGACAAACGCCACUAGUGUCUCACGUCCCAUUCUGUGUACCUUGCUAGGAGAUGGAGGCGACGCAACCACCAGCACCAGUGCACCGCCAGCGACCAGCACGGACCCAGGACCAGGGUGUGGGGUAUGUGCACGUGCGGUCACCAGCGUCUCAGCUGACGGCCGCCUCAUGAACUCGGGAGACCAAUCAGACAUCAGGUUGGGACAGCGUGGAACCCAGACCACGACGUUUCUCAUGGAUGUGGCGAUCAGGUGUACAACUCCAAAUUGUUCCUGUGAUUGUUUUACGCCUGGCAAGUCGCAAUUGAGAACGUGUGAUACAUGUAAACACGGUUGGGUAUCGCAUGGC